Molecule: ribosomal RNA, 532 nt
Filed under: Pullosquilla litoralis
Lineage: Eukaryota; Metazoa; Arthropoda; Malacostraca; Stomatopoda; Nannosquillidae
Description: partial large subunit ribosomal RNA
Rfam family: Bacterial large subunit ribosomal RNA
Source: RNAcentral
UGUCCGUAUGAAAUUGUUGUAUACGGUCUGGCCUGCCCACUGACAAGAGUUAAAGGGCCGCGGUAUUCUGACCGUGCGAAGGUAGCAUAAUAAUUAGUCUCCUAAUUAGAGGCUUGUAUGAAUGGUCGGACAAGAUGGGAGCUGUCUCAAUAUAAUAAAUAUAAAUUGAUAUUUAAGUAAAAAAGCUUAAAUGAGAUGAAGUGACGAUAAGACCCUAUAAAGCUUUAUAAUAUAAUCUUUUCAUGUAAAAUAUCUAAUCUAAAAUAAUAAAAGAGUUAUAUUAUUUUACUGGGGCGGUAAAAGUAUACUUAAUCAACUGCUUUUAUUCUGCAAAACAAUAAUAAUUGAAAUACUAAUUGAUCCAUUAAUAAUGAUCAUAAGAACAAGUUACUUUAGGGAUAACAGCGUAAUUUCUUUUGAGAGUCCUUAUCGAAAAAGAAGUUUGCGACCUCGAUGUUGAAUUAAGGAUACCUUAAAGUGCAGCAGUUUUAAAGGUAGAUCUGUUCGAUCUUUAAUUCCUUACGUGAUCUGA